AUACGUAGGUGGCAAGCGUUGUCCGGAUUUAUUGGGCGUAAAGCGUGCGCAGGCGGUGAGAUAAGUCAGCUGUGAAAGCCCCGGGCUCAACCUGGGAACUGCGGCCGAAACUGUCUCGCUAGAGUACGUCAGAGGGGGGUGGAAUUCCACGUGUAGCAGUGAAAUGCGUAGAGGUGUGGAGGAACACCAAUGGCGAAGGCAGCCCCCUGGGAUGAUACUGACGCUCAUGCACGAAAGCGUGGGGAGCAAACAGGAUUAGAUACCCUGGUAGUCCACGCCCUAAACGAUGUCGACUAGCCGUUGGAGACCUCGGUCUUUGGUGGCGCAGCUAACGCGUGAAGUCGACCGCCUGGGGAGUACGGUCGCAAGAUUAAA
This 375-nucleotide ribosomal RNA is filed under the name uncultured bacterium. Its description in RNAcentral is "bacterial SSU rRNA". It matches the Rfam family "Bacterial small subunit ribosomal RNA", at positions 523 to 898 of the family's 1533-position model. The record is from RNAcentral.